UGGGGAAUAUUGCACAAUGGGGGAAACCCUGAUGCAGCAACGCCGCGUGAGUGAUGAAGGCCUUCGGGUUGUAAAGCUCUGUCUUCGCUGACGAUAAUGACGGUAAGCGAGGAGGAAGCCACGGCUAACUACGUGCCAGCAGCCGCGGUAAUACGUAGGUGGCAAGCGUUGUCCGGAAUUACUGGGCGUAAAGGGUGCGUAGGCGGUUCAUUAAGUGGGAUGUGAAAUACCCGGGCUUAACCUGGGAACUGCAUUCCAAACUGGUGAGCUAGAGUGCAGGAGAGGAAAGUGGAAUUCCCAGUGUAGCGGUGAAAUGCGUAGAGAUUGGGAGGAACACCAGUGGCGAAGGCGACUUUCUGGACUGUAACUGACGCUGAUGCACGAAAGUGUGGGGAGCAAA
Molecule: ribosomal RNA, 400 nt
Filed under: uncultured bacterium
Lineage: Bacteria
Description: bacterial SSU rRNA
Rfam family: Bacterial small subunit ribosomal RNA
Source: RNAcentral